Molecule: transfer RNA, 82 nt
Organism: Thalassotalea sp. ND16A
Lineage: Bacteria; Pseudomonadati; Pseudomonadota; Gammaproteobacteria; Alteromonadales; Colwelliaceae
Rfam family: tRNA
About the family: Transfer RNA (tRNA) molecules are approximately 80 nucleotides in length. Their secondary structure includes four short double-helical elements and three loops (D, anti-codon, and T loops).
Source: Rfam
GCGGACGUGGCGGAAUUGGUAGACGCGCUGGAUUUAGGUUCCAGUAUUCUAGGAUGUGAGAGUUCAAGUCUCUCCGUCCGCA